UGAUGGGCUGGCAGUCUUGAAGAACACGCGAUAAUAUUUGCUCUCUAAACUGCUGAGGAGUAGCGCUGCUCAGGGGUAGUGAUCGGACUCCCGAGUCUCCACGGGAAUAAAGUCCCGGCGUCUCAGAUCAACUCAAGCUGUCUCAGAGACCGGAUGGGACCUCAGCUGCUCUUUAUCGUCGUUAUCGGUUGCGUUAUGCUGGGUGUUCGGCAUGCAGAAGGAUCUGAAGCUAAACAAUGUCCCAAGGACAGCUACAAAACCGAAGAUGACGUGUGCUGCGAUCUCUGCCCUGCAGGAACAUUCAAGGCAGAAGACUGUUUGACUGAUGGAGGAAUCCGUAAAUGUAUUCCAUGCAUUCAAAGGAAAUUUUACACUGACAAGCCAAAUAAUGAAUCCGCUUGCUUCGACUGCACACCAUGUGCAGAGGGAGAGGAGAUUGUACAAGAAUGUAGGAAAGAACAAAACUCAAUUUGCCAAUGUAAAUAAGGAUAUUACAGAUCGAAUGGACAGUGUGUACGCAAUAAUGAAGUUGCAUUGCGCGGGGGAUUGAUUGCAAUGGCGAUAAUCGCCUGCAUCAGCAUCAUCGUCAUCAUCAUCUCUCUUUGGAGGUGUAAAGCAACAGCUCGAGCACGAACAAAUCUUCGACAAGGUACGUUUUUUAAACAAAUAUUUGAUACAUUUGAAUUAGAUUGGCAUCGUCUAUUUAGAGAUAUUUUAAUGCGUGGC
This is a non-coding RNA of Petromyzon marinus (sea lamprey), 726 nucleotides long. Lineage: Eukaryota; Metazoa; Chordata; Hyperoartia; Petromyzontiformes; Petromyzontidae. The record is from RefSeq and is a predicted model, not a curated record.